Molecule: transfer RNA, 76 nt
Filed under: Christensenellaceae bacterium
Lineage: Bacteria; Bacillati; Bacillota; Clostridia; Christensenellales; Christensenellaceae
Description: tRNA-Val
Rfam family: tRNA
About the family: Transfer RNA (tRNA) molecules are approximately 80 nucleotides in length.
Source: RNAcentral
GGAGAUUUAGCUCAGCUGGGAGAGCAUUCGCCUUACAAGCGACAGGUCGUAGGUUCGAUCCCUACAAUCUCCACCA